This 477-nucleotide unclassified non-coding RNA is filed under the name uncultured Glomus. RNAcentral's name for it is "SSU rRNA". It matches the Rfam family "Eukaryotic small subunit ribosomal RNA", at positions 569 to 1052 of the family's 1831-position model. Lineage: Eukaryota; Fungi; Glomeromycota; Glomeromycetes; Glomerales; Glomeraceae. The record is from RNAcentral.
AGCAGCCGCGGUAAUUCCAGCUCCAAUAGCGUAUAUUAAAGUUGUUGCAGUUAAAAAGCUCGUAGUUGAAUUUCGGGAUCAAAGGAUCGGUCAUGCCUUGGUAUGUACUGGUUUUAUUGGUUCUCACCUUCUAAAGAACCAUAAUGUCAUUCAUUUGAUGUUAUGGGGAAUUAGGACUGUUACCUUGAAAAAUUAGAGUGUUUAAAGCAGGCUUACGCUUGAAUACAUUAGCAUGGAAUAAUGAAAUAGGACAUCAGAUUCUAUUUUGUUGGUUUCUAGGAUCGAUGUAAUGAUUAAUAGGGAUAGUUGGGGGCAUUAGUAUUCAAUUGUCAGAGGUGAAAUUCUUGGAUUUAUUGAAGACUAACUACUGCGAAAGCAUUUGCCAAGGAUGUUUUCAUUAAUCAAGAACGAAAGUUAGGGGAUCGAAGACGAUCAGAUACCGUCGUAGUCUUAACCAUAAACUAUGCCGACUAGGGA